Molecule: long non-coding RNA, 408 nt
Organism: Ostrinia nubilalis (European corn borer)
Lineage: Eukaryota; Metazoa; Arthropoda; Insecta; Lepidoptera; Crambidae
Exons: 2
Source: RefSeq, a predicted model, not a curated record
UUAUUAUUUCACUCAGAAUACGGAACAAACCAGAAACCGUCAACGGGCGUAAAUGUGUAUUCAUAUAAAUUACUCCAAAUCGCACUAAUUUGACUUUAGAGCAAUUAGUCAAUGGCCGGCGCGCGCAUUGUUUACAUAUCCGUCAGAUUGACACUUUAUAAUUAAAUUAUGCCGUCUUGUGCCGUUCCAACAUGUAAGAAUGCUACUGGAAUUACGAAGAAAGUGCAUGGGAUCAUGUUUUAUCCGAUACACAGCCAGAGUUGCCUCGCAAUCAAAUUCAAGUAUUGGUGAUGUUUUUGAUUUGGAUUCUGUUUUUGACUCUAAGAAAAGUUAAACUAAAAGCACUACUGCGCCGUAAACAAAUGUUUUGUUGUCGAUAUGUUUACAUAAUAAAGAACCUUAAGUUUC